This 407-nucleotide long non-coding RNA is filed under the name Panax ginseng (ginseng). RNAcentral describes it as "long non-coding RNA (PGIN_LNC015397)". The record is from RNAcentral. Lineage: Eukaryota; Viridiplantae; Streptophyta; Magnoliopsida; Apiales; Araliaceae.
GGGUUGGUUCGUUGGAUUAACCCAUUGGGUCAUUUAAUAUCUAUUACUUUGACUUGUAAUGAUGAUAUAGUAUGACAGUUGACCAAGAUAUCUGCCAUGCAUUAAUAUGGAUGAGAUUAUAGCCGGCCGGCGGUGCAAACAGUGGCCAAGAGCAGUGGAUAAACUCCAUGUAGUCGGUCGAACCCAUCAGAUCAGGGGGAUAUGUCAGGUGAUAGUGGGUGGCACGGUAAUCCAGGCAAAGAUAUUAUUUCUUAGUGAGUAAGUCUUCAUAAGGAGGUACGUUUUAUUCAUAUAUACACAUUCACACAACAGAUAGAAAAGAAUCACUCUCAAUACGCUAAAUUCUAUUAUCCUCUUGAGUUAACUUUGUGAACAGACAUACUUACUCUCACGCCUGAGCUAUCCCC